RNAcentral lists this ribosomal RNA (472 nucleotides) under uncultured bacterium. Its description in RNAcentral is "bacterial SSU rRNA". It matches the Rfam family "Bacterial small subunit ribosomal RNA", at positions 335 to 799 of the family's 1533-position model. The record is from RNAcentral.
ACUCCUACGGGAGGCAGCAGUGGGAAUAUUGGACAAUGGGGGCAACCCUGAUCCAGCAAUGCCGCGUGUGUGAAGAAGGCCUGCGGGUUGUAAAGCACUUUCAGUAGAGAAGAAAAGCCCUAGGGUUAAUACCCCUGAGUCUUGACGUUACCUACAGAAGAAGCUCCGGCUAACUCCGUGCCAGCAGCCGCGGUAAUACGGAGGGAGCGAGCGUUAAUCGGAAUUACUGGGCGUAAAGCGCACGUAGGCGGCUUUGUAAGUCGGAUGUGAAAGCCCCGGGCUUAACCUGGGAAUGGCAUUCGAUACUGCAGAGCUAGAGUAUGGUAGAGGGAAGUGGAAUUUCCGGUGUAGCGGUGAAAUGCGUAGAUAUCGGAAGGAACACCGGUGGCGAAGGCGACUUCCUGGGCCAAUACUGACGCUGAGGUGCGAAAGCGUGGGUAGCAAACAGGAUUAGAUACCCUGGUAGGCUCUG